GAUGAACGCUAGCGGCAGGCUUAAUACAUGCAAGUCGUGGGGCAGCAUGAGUAGCAAUACUUGAUGGCGACCGGCAAACGGGUGAGGAACACGUACACAACCUUCCUUCAAGCGGGGAAUAGCCCAGAGAAAUUUGGAUUAAUACCCCAUAAUAUAUUUGAUAAGGCAUCUUAUUAAUAUUAAAGCUUCGGCACUUGAUGAUGGGUGUGCGGCUGAUUAGAUAGUUGGCGGGGUAACGGCCCACCAAGUCUACGAUCAGUAGCUGAUGUGAGAGCAUGAUCAGCCACACGGGCACUGAGACACGGGCCCGACUCCUACGGGAGGCAGCAGUAAGGAAUAUUGGACAAUGGACGAAAGUCUGAUCCAGCCAUGCCGCGUGAAAGGAUUAAGGUCCUCUGGAUUGUAAACUUCUUUUAUAUGGGACGAAAAAGGGCAUUCUUGUUCACUUGACGGUACCAUAUGAAUAAGCACCGGCUAACUCCGUGCCAG
This 489-nucleotide ribosomal RNA is filed under the name uncultured bacterium. Its description in RNAcentral is "bacterial SSU rRNA". It matches the Rfam family "Bacterial small subunit ribosomal RNA", at positions 28 to 511 of the family's 1533-position model. The record is from RNAcentral.